AAUCAACGCUGGCGGCGUGCCUAACACAUGCAAGUCGAACGCGAAAGCCCCGCAAGGGGUAAGUAGAGUGGCAAACGGGUGAGUAACACGUGGGUGACCUGCCUUCGAGUGGGGGAUAACGUCCCGAAAGGGACGCUAAUACCGCAUGACAUCCUGCUUUUGAAAAAGCGGAGAUCAAAGCUGGGGAUCGCAAGACCUAGCGCUUGAAGAGGGGCCCGCGCCUGAUUAGCUAGUUGGUGAGGUAACGGCUCACCAAGGCGACGAUCAGUAUCCGGCCUGAGAGGGCAGACGGACACACUGGGACUGAGACACGGCCCAGACUCCUACGGGAGGCAGCAGUGGGGAAUUGUUCGCAAUGGGCGCAAGCCUGACGACGCAACGCCGCGGGGAGGACGAAGAUCUUCGGGUCGUAAACUCCUGUCGAGCGGGACGAACGCUUCGCGGAUGAAUAAUCCGCGGAAUUGACGGUACCGCUAAAGGAAGCCCCGGCUAACUCCGUG
This 500-nucleotide ribosomal RNA is filed under the name uncultured bacterium. RNAcentral's name for it is "partial 16S ribosomal RNA". It matches the Rfam family "Bacterial small subunit ribosomal RNA", at positions 32 to 507 of the family's 1533-position model. The record is from RNAcentral.